UUCUUUACCCCGUCUUGAAACACGGACCAAGGAGUCUAACAUCUAUGCGAGUGUUUGGGUGUCAAGCCCGAACGCGUAAUGAAAGUGAACGGAGGUGAGAACCGCAAGGUGCAUCAUCGACCGAUCCUGAUGUCUUCGGAUGGAUUUGAGUAAGAGCAUAACUGUUGGGACCCGAAAGAUGGUGAACUAUGCUUGAGUAGGGCGAAGCCAGGGGAAACUCUGGUGGAGGUCCGCAGCGAUUCUAACGUGCAAAUUGAUCGUCGAACUUGGGUAUAGGGGCGAAAGACUAAUCGAACCAUCUAGUAGCUGGUUCCUCCCGAAAUUUCCCUUAGGAUAGCUGCAACCGAACAGUUUUAUCAGGUAAAGCGAAUGAUUAGAGGAAUCGGGGGCGCUUUGUCCUCGACCUAUUCUCAAACUUUAAAUGGGUAAGAUCCAGUGGUUACUUAGCUGAACUUCUGGGAUAAAUGCCAACUCUAAGUGGGCCAUUUUUGGUAAGCAGAACUGGCGAUGAGGGAUGAACCUAACGUUGAGUUAAGGUGUUUAACUGCUCGCUCAUCAGAUACCAUAAAGGGUGUUGGUUCAUUUUAACAGCAGGACGGUGGUCAUGGAAGUCGAAAUCCGCUAAGGAGUGUGUAACAACUCACCUGCCGA
RNAcentral lists this ribosomal RNA (651 nucleotides) under Durinskia baltica. Its description in RNAcentral is "partial Eukaryotic large subunit ribosomal RNA". It matches the Rfam family "Eukaryotic large subunit ribosomal RNA", at positions 640 to 1300 of the family's 3401-position model. Lineage: Eukaryota; Dinophyceae; Peridiniales; Kryptoperidiniaceae. The record is from RNAcentral.